UUAUAGUUUGAAAAUGUUUUCAUUUAUAUGUCUUCAAUUCAGAAAUAAUCUUCUUUCUUUCUUUUUCAAAUUGUGCUCACUUGCAUAGAGAGAAUUACAAACCAAUACCAAAUAAUCUGAGAUAGCAUUAAUUUGGUUAAAGAAGAAAAUUUGGAGAAGCAUAUCGUUUUUACAAAUUCAAUUUGUCAAAGUAUCUACAGAUGUUCUCCCUGAAACUUCUUUUCAAAUUGAUUUUUCUCUGCCAGGACUCAGCCAAAUAUGAAGAUCCUUGUCUUUGCCUUUAUCAUGGCUCUCAUGGUUGCCAUGAUCGGAGCUGAUUCAUCUGAAGAGAGAUGAUAUUUAAAUCGGCCACAUCAAUAUCCUUGCAUACUUCCAAUAAAUGACAUACCAGUUCCUUAUCCA
This 402-nucleotide long non-coding RNA is filed under the name Felis catus (domestic cat). RNAcentral describes it as "lncRNA (ENSFCAG00000050865.1)". Lineage: Eukaryota; Metazoa; Chordata; Mammalia; Carnivora; Felidae. The record is from RNAcentral.